Molecule: ribosomal RNA, 465 nt
Filed under: uncultured bacterium
Lineage: Bacteria
Description: bacterial SSU rRNA
Rfam family: Bacterial small subunit ribosomal RNA
Source: RNAcentral
CUACGGGAGGCAGCAGUGGGGAAUAUUGGACAAUGGGCGCAAGCCUGAUCCAGCAAUGCCGCGUGUGUGAAGAAGGCCUGCGGGUUGUAAAGCACUUUAAGCCGGAAAGAAGGGGUGGUGGUUAAUACCCGCCAUCAUUGACGUUACCGGCAGAAUAAGCACCGGCUAACUCCGUGCCAGCAGCCGCGGUAAUACGGAGGGGGCAGGCGUUACUCGGAAUUAUUGGGCGUAAAGGGCGCGUAGGCGGUCUUGUGCGUCGGAGGUGAAAUCCCCGGGCUUAACCCGGGAGCUGCCUCCGAUACGGCAGGACUUGAGUCCGGGAGAGGAGAGCAGAAUUCCCAGUGUAGCGGUGAAAUGCGUAGAUAUUGGGAGGAAUACCAGUGGCGAAGGCGGCUCUCUGGACCGGUACUGACGCUGAGGCGCGAAAGCAUGGGGAGCAAACAGGAUUAGAUACCCCUGUAGUCC